GGCCUUCUCUAUACAGGUCAACACAGGGCCCUUCUCUAUACAGGUCAACACAGGGCCUUCUCUAUACAGGUCAACACAGGGCCUUCUCUAUACAGGUCAACACAGGGCCCUUCUCUAUACAGGUCAACACAGGGCCCUUCUCUAUACAGGGCCCUCUCUAUACAGGUCAACACAGGGCCUUCUCUAUACAGGUCAACACAGGGCCCUCUCUAUACAGGUCAACACAGGGCCCUUCUCUAUACAGGUCAACACAGGGAACAGGGGAAAACACAUGUUUAGAAUAUCAGGCAGAGAGACAGAGAGAGAUCUAAUUCCUACAUGCUCCAUUUAACAUGACAUUAAUGUCCUGACAUGGAGAGAGAGAGAGAGAGAGAGAGAGAGAUGAUAACCUACACCACAUAGCCACAGUUGAUAUUGUGUGCAUUCCAAAUGGCAUCCUAUUCCCUAUGUAAUGCACUCAUUUUGGUUAGGGUUCAUAGGGCUCACAGGGCUCAGGUCAGGACUCAUAGGGCUAAUAGGGCUCAGGUCAGGGCUCAUAAGGCUAAUAGGGCUCAGGUCAGGACUCACAGGGCUAAUAGGGCUCAGGUCAGGGCUCAUAAGGCUAAUAGGGCUCAGGUCAGGGCUCAUAGGGCUAAUAGGGCUCAGGUCAGGGCUCAUAGGGCUAAUAGGGCUCAGGUCAGGGCUCAUAGGGCUAAUAGGGCUCAGGUCAGGGCUCAUAGAGCUAAUAGGGCUCAGGUCAGGACUCAUAGGGCUCAGGUCAGGGCUCAUAGGGCUCAGGUCAGGGCUAAUAGGGCUCAGGUCAGGACUCAUAGGGCUCAGGUCAGGGCUCAUAGGGCUCAGGUGAGGGCUAAUAGGGCUCAGGUCAGGACUCAUAGGGCUCAGGUCAGGGCUCAUAGGGCUAAUAGGGCUCAGGUCAGGGCUCAUAGGGCUCAGGUCAGGGGUCAUAGGGCUCAGGUCAGGGCUCAGGUCAAAAGUAGUUACAUUUAUAGGGAAUGCACACAAUUUCUUUAAUGAGCAUGAAUGACCAUAAAUAUCAGAAUGAAUAGUAGAAAGCAUUUUUAUUGAGUAAGAAAUUGAACCAACUAUGCAUUUCACAGUCUAUCUUACUUGGCAAUCGGUUAUAAUUAUCCUAUUAUAAAAUGUGCUCUUCUUAUUAACCCAUGUACACUAUACAUACAAUACACCCAGCGUGUCAACAGACCCAUCUCAACAAGCCUCCACAAUACGCUCCAGUCUACAGUGUUGUCUUCAGGCUUAAACAAUACACUCCAGUCUACAGUGUUGUGAUGCUGUCUUCAGGCUUAAACAAUACGCUCCAGUCUACAGUGUUGUCUUCAGGCUUAAACAACACACUCCAGUCUACAGUGUUGUCUUCAGGCUAAAACAACACACUCCAGUCUACAGUGUUGUCUUCAGGCUAAAACAACACACUCCAGU
This is a long non-coding RNA of Oncorhynchus tshawytscha (Chinook salmon), 1437 nucleotides long. NCBI's taxonomy places the organism in Eukaryota, Metazoa, Chordata, Actinopteri, Salmoniformes, Salmonidae. The record is from Ensembl.